AUUGAACGCUGGCGGCAUGCCUUACACAUGCAAGUCGAACGGCAGCACGGGAGCAAUCCUGGUGGCGAGUGGCGAACGGGUGAGUAAUGUAUCGGAACGUGCCCAGUCGUGGGGGAUAACGUAGCGAAAGCUACGCUAAUACCGCAUACGACAUAUGGAUGAAAGCGGGGGAUAGCAAGACCUCGCGCGAUUGGAGCGGCCGAUAUCAGAUUAGGUAGUUGGUGGGGUAAAGGCUCACCAAGCCGACGAUCUGUAGCUGGUCUGAGAGGACGACCAGCCACACUGGGACUGAGACACGGCCCAGACUCCUACGGGAGGCAGCAGUGGGGAAUUUUGGACAAUGGGCGCAAGCCUGAUCCAGCAAUGCCGCGUGCAGGAUGAAGGCCUUCGGGUUGUAAACUGCUUUUGUACGGAACGAAACGGCGAGCUCUAAUACAGUUUGCUAAUGACGGUACCGUAAGAAUAAGCACCGGCUAACUACGUGCCAGCCGCCGCGGUAA
RNAcentral lists this ribosomal RNA (500 nucleotides) under uncultured bacterium. Its description in RNAcentral is "partial 16S ribosomal RNA". It matches the Rfam family "Bacterial small subunit ribosomal RNA", at positions 30 to 523 of the family's 1533-position model. The record is from RNAcentral.